Molecule: non-coding RNA, 2943 nt
Organism: Musa acuminata subsp. malaccensis (wild Malaysian banana)
Lineage: Eukaryota; Viridiplantae; Streptophyta; Magnoliopsida; Zingiberales; Musaceae
Source: RefSeq, a predicted model, not a curated record
UCGGCUCCACCCUCACUCUCUUCCUCCUAAAACCCUAAACCCAAAUCCCACUUUCCCCACCCCCUCCACUGCAGCCCCACGGCCAUGGCGUCCCCUGCCGUCCUUCGAGAACGUUCAAGAACGCUCCCGAAGCUCCUCUCCCACCUCGCCCUCCUCCGAUUCAUGGGAGGCGGCCCGCGUACGUUUCCCGGCGGCCUCAACAAGUGGCAGUACAAGCGGAUGCACGAGAAGAUGGCGAGGGAGAAGGAGCGCCGCCUCCUCCAGCAGGAGAAGCAGCUCUACCACGCUCGCCUCCGAACCGAGAUCCGCGCCAAGAGCGCUGGGAGAUCCUCCGGCGACUCCGCCGAUCCCGCCUCCAACUCCGGUGGCGCCAUGACCUCCAAAGAGCACAUCAAGGCCCUUGCUGAUCGGUUUAUGAAGGCCGGGGCAGUGGACCUCUGGAACGAGGAUGACGGCCCCAUCCUCUCUGCACCUCGUCGGUCCCAUGCUUCGGGCUCCGUGCCGCCGCUUGAUUUGAGGAAGCUUGUGGCGGAGCGACGGAACGUGGUUGAAAGUAGGGCCGGCCGGACAAGUUCGAGCUUGGGUUCUUUUAGUAAGAGGGAGUACUCGACGAUGCCAUGGAGACGAAAUGGGAUGAGGUCGAAGAUGAGGUGGAGGAAUUCAUCGAGCGAUGAAGAUUCCGAGUCAGAUACAAGGGUUGUUUCAAAUGGAAAUUCGAUGACGGAGCAUCGCAAUGCAGACAGGGGUACUCCAAAGAAUUCGCGACUGUUUCCUAAGUUUAGCAUCAAAAGUGACGGGGAGUCAGAGGAAGACUCAGGUUUGAUGAGCAGGGCGAGUGCAGGAAAGAAGAUAUUUAGCAAAGCUGCUCUGAGGAACUAUGAUAUGAAAAACCAGAGGAGGGUGCCUAGGAGCAUUGAGGAGUGCAGUGAUCCCUCUAAUGAGUUGCAGGAAAUUCGUGAUGAGUUGUGGAAGAAGCAGGCUUAUGCAUAUGAUACAACACGACGUGAUGCAGAGGAAGAAUCACUUCUGACAAAAAAGCGAUUUGAUGAGUGUGGCGUCUCUCCUCUGACAAUUAAGGCACUCACUGAUGCUGGAUACAUACGAAUGACCGUUGUGCAAGAGGCGACACUUCCUGUCUGUCUUGAUGGUAAGGAUGCUCUAGUGAAAGCAAAAACAGGCACAGGCAAAAGUGCUGCUUUUCUGCUUCCUGCAAUUGAAACAGUCAUCAAGGCAACACAAAGCAGCAUAAACCGGCGGCUACCUCAAAUUCAUGUUCUUAUUAUUUGUCCCACAAGGGAGCUUGCCAUUCAAGUUGCAGCUGAGGCAAAUGUUCUGUUAAAACACCAUGUUGGAAUUGGUGUUCAAACAUUUACUGGAGGGACAAGGUUCAAGAUGGAUCAGAAACGUCUCGAAUCAAAUCCUUGCCAGAUUAUAGUGGCAACACCUGGCAGAUUAUUGGAUCACAUAGAAAACAAGUCUGGGUUUUCUGUACGUUUGAUGGGUUUGAAGAUGCUUAUACUUGAUGAAGCGGACCACUUGUUAGACUUAGGAUAUAGAAAGGACAUAGAGAAGAUUGUUGAUUCUGUGCCACGCCAGAGGCAGUCCUUAUUGUUUUCUGCUACAUUUCCUAGAGAGGUAUGCCGAAUAUCACAGCUUGUCUUGAAACGAGAUCAUAUCUUUGUCGAUACAGUUGGCUUGGGAUGCGUGGAAACUCAUGCAAAGGUUCUGCAGGCAUAUCUUAUUGCACCUCAUCAACUGCAUUAUCACUUGGUGUAUAAUCUUCUGAAGGAACACAUGCAACAAGAGUUAGACUAUAAGGUAAUUGUAUUUUGUACAACUGCUAUGGGAGCGGCUUUUAUGUACGUGCUUCUCCGAGACUUGAAAAUGAAUGUCAGGGAAAUGCAUUCUAGGAAGCCACAACUUUAUCGAACUCGUAUAUCUGAUGAGUUCCGUGAAUCAAAGUGCAUAAUUCUUGUAACCUCUGAUGUUUCUUCUCGUGGGAUGAAUUAUCCUGAUGUCACUCUAGUCAUUCAGGUUGGCAUUCCUCCUGAUCGUGAACAAUACAUACAUCGACUUGGAAGGACAGGACGUCAAGGCAAAGAUGGAAAGGGCAUUCUAUUGCUUGCACCAUGGGAAGAAUAUUUCAUGGAUCAGAUAAAAGAUCUUCCCAUCAAGAAGUAUCAACUUCUGGAUCUUGAUUCAGACACAAAACAGAAGGUUGAGGAUUCCAUUGGAAGAGUUGACCCAAGCAUCAAGGAAGCAGCAUAUCAUGCCUGGCUUGGAUAUUAUAACUCUAUUAGGGAAGUAGGAAGAGAUAAAACCACGCUGGCUGACCUGGCAAACCAGUUUUGUCAUUCCAUUGGUUUAGAGAAGCCUCCAGCGCUCUUCAGGAGAACAGCUUUGAAGAUGGGAUUGAAGGGCAUUCCUGGCAUUCGAGUUCAUAAGUAAAGCCAACAAUUGUUCUGAUCCAUUUCCAUACUGCAAAUCCGUAAGUAUCAAUGCUGAUCCGACUUGCUAACUGUGUUGGGUGAUUACAGAGUGGUUUAGAUUGGUAUCAGAAAGAGAGAAGAAAUGACAACAUAAGCUAGUGAUGGAUGAUGGCUCGUAUUAGAUUCAAAAUAGCAUGGCUUGUUCUGAGAGGCAUUGACUUGUCCUAUAGCAUGGAGUGGGUGGAACAUUCUGAAGCCAUUUCCUUUCUAAAUGACACAUGGCUUCAAUCUUCAAAUCAUUCCCAUCUUCUUAAUAGGAACGAGAAAUGUCUUUUUAGCGAUCUCAUGGACUCCGUUACUUGAUAACUCAUAACCUUUCGACUAUACUAAUGUAUGGUACGAACAAGAUUCUUCAUCCAUCAUGUACUGUAUUCAUGAAUCUGUGAGACUCCAUGAACGCUAUUAGGAGUGUCCGUACGAGCGAUCAUUGAAUGAAGGUAUGAAGUUGACAUCA